Molecule: ribosomal RNA, 510 nt
Filed under: uncultured bacterium
Lineage: Bacteria
Description: bacterial SSU rRNA
Rfam family: Bacterial small subunit ribosomal RNA
Source: RNAcentral
AAUGAACGCUGGCGGCGUGCUUAACACAUGCAAGUCGAGCGAGGCCUGGGGGGCAACUCCCAGAGUCGAGCGGCGGACGGGUGAGUAACACGUGGGUAACCUGCCCGGAAGUGGGGAAUACCUCGGGGAAACGUCGAGCUAAUACCGCAUGACAUCUCCGGGACGAAAGUCCUGGCGAUCAAAGCGGGGUCGCAAGAUCUCGCGCUACCGGAUGGGCCCGCGCCCGAUUAGCUAGUUGGGAGGUAACGGCUCACCAAGGCUUCGAUCGGUAACCGGCCCUGAGAGGGCGAUCGGUCACACCGGAACUGAGACACGGUCCGGACUCCUACGGGAGGCAGCAGUGGGGAAUCUUGCGCAAUGGGCGAAAGCCUGACGCAGCAACGCCGCGUGGAGGAUGAAGGCCCUUGGGUUGUAAACUCCUGUCGGCUGGGAAGAAAUCGUUCGGGGCUCAUACCCCUCGGACGUUGACUGUACCAGCAAAGGAAGCCCCGGCUAACUCUGUGCACGCCG